AGUGAACGCUGGCGGUAGGCCUAACACAUGCAAGUCGAACGGCAGCACAGUAAGAGCUUGCUCUUACGGGUGGCGAGUGGCGGACGGGUGAGGAAUACAUCGGAAUCUACUUUUUCGUGGGGGAUAACGUAGGGAAACUUACGCUAAUACCGCAUACGACCUACGGGUGAAAGCAGGGGAUCUUCGGACCUUGCGCGAUUGAAUGAGCCGAUGUCGGAUUAGCUAGUUGGCGGGGUAAAGGCCCACCAAGGCGACGAUCCGUAGCUGGUCUGAGAGGAUGACAGGCCACACUGGAAGUGAGAGAUGGGCCAGACUCCUACGGGAGGCAGCAGUGGGGAAUAUUGGGAAAUGGGCGCAAGCAUGAUCCAGCCAUACCGCGUGGGUGAAGAAGGCCUUCGGGUGGGGAAGCCCUUUUGUUGGGAAAGAAAAGCAGCAGGUUAAGACGCCGCUGUUCUGACGGUACCCAAAGAAUAAGCACCGGCUAACUUCGUG
Molecule: ribosomal RNA, 492 nt
Filed under: uncultured bacterium
Lineage: Bacteria
Description: partial 16S ribosomal RNA
Rfam family: Bacterial small subunit ribosomal RNA
Source: RNAcentral